GCGGGGCUGCUCGGUGCGUCAGGCACAUCACCCCCGGGGCCAGUAAGCAUCCUCCCGGGAGCUGGCGCUGCCGCGGUCUUGGCUGCGGUAUCCGGCGCCCACCUGCAAACGCAGGCCUUGGGAGGGUGAGACGCCAACGGCCGGGGCGGCUCCGCA
Molecule: non-coding RNA, 156 nt
Filed under: Rhodospirillales bacterium
Lineage: Bacteria; Pseudomonadati; Pseudomonadota; Alphaproteobacteria; Rhodospirillales
Description: 6S RNA
Rfam family: 6S / SsrS RNA
About the family: E. coli 6S RNA was the first non coding RNA to be sequenced, but its function was unknown until recently. It consists of 184 nucleotides that fold into an extended hairpin structure with a large single-stranded internal bulge.
Source: RNAcentral